GUAGGGGGCAAGCGUUAUCCGGAUUUACUGGGUGUAAAGGGAGCGUAGACGGCUGUGCAAGUCUGAAGUGAAAGCCCGCGGCUCAACCGGGGGACUGCUUUGGAAACUGUAAAGCUGGAGUGCAGGAGGGGUGGGCGGAAUUCCUAGUGUAGCGGUGAAAUGCGUAGAUAUUAGGAGGAACACCGGCGGCGAAGGCGGCCCACUGGACUGUAACUGACGUUGAGGCUCGAAAGCGUGGGGAGCA
RNAcentral lists this ribosomal RNA (244 nucleotides) under uncultured bacterium. Its description in RNAcentral is "partial 16S ribosomal RNA". It matches the Rfam family "Bacterial small subunit ribosomal RNA", at positions 527 to 770 of the family's 1533-position model. The record is from RNAcentral.